Long non-coding RNA from Nerophis lumbriciformis (worm pipefish), 429 nucleotides. RefSeq lists it as uncharacterized. The record is from RefSeq and is a predicted model, not a curated record. NCBI's taxonomy places the organism in Eukaryota, Metazoa, Chordata, Actinopteri, Syngnathiformes, Syngnathidae.
AGUAAAUCUGUUAAUCACUGUCGCACGAUUGCACCUGCUAGAUGUCAAAAAUAGAUAUAUGUCGUAUUUCAGUUGUUUGAGUUACAUAGUAAAUCAUGUCUGGGUGGCUUAGGAUUGUUGUUUAAAGAUAAAUGAGUCUUCUCCUCCGAUACACUUUGCUCUUCAUGCGGUGGCAGAAGCUCCAAAUGACGCCGACAAAGAUGGCCUGGAAGCCCAACACCAUCAGGACGUAAGCAAGGAUGAGUGCCCAUGAGUCUACGUCGUCGUCGCCGCCCUGUUGGGACAGCAGAAAUGUCUUCACUUCUAGUGGACGUUGACUGACUGCAACUUUCUCUGCAAGCAGUGUAAAGACGCUGCCCAACACCAAGAAGAUGAGAAGGCUCCAAUUUUCAAGAAAAUGGGUUUAUUUAACAAAGGCAAAGAAGGGGG